CCUGGCUCAGGAUGAAUGCUGGCGGCGUGCCUAACACAUGCAAGUCGAGCGGCAGCGAGGGGUGCUUGCACCCUGUCGGCGAGCGGCGGACGGCUGAGUAACGCGUAGGAAUUUGCCCCAAAGUGAGGGAUAACUGCCCGAAAGGGUAGCUAAUACCGCAUACGGUCUUCGGAUUAAAGGAUUUAUCCGCUUUGGGAGAAGCCUGCGUUGGAUUAGGUUGUUGGUAGGGUAAUGGCCUACCAAGCCGACGAUCCAUAGCUGGUCUGAGAGGAUGAUCGGCCACACUGGGACUGAGACACGGCCCAGACUCCUACGG
Molecule: ribosomal RNA, 316 nt
Filed under: uncultured bacterium
Lineage: Bacteria
Description: bacterial SSU rRNA
Rfam family: Bacterial small subunit ribosomal RNA
Source: RNAcentral